GUGGGGAAUAUUGCGCAAUGGGCGAAAGCCUGACGCAGCGACGCCGCGUGAGGGAUGAAGGUUUUCGGAUCGUAAACCUCUGUCAGAAGGGAAGAAACUACGUUGUGCUAAUCAGCAGCGUACUGACGGUACCUUCAAAGGAAGCACCGGCUAACUCCGUGCCAGCAGCCGCGGUAAUACGGAGGGUGCAAGCGUUAAUCGGAAUUACUGGGCGUAAAGCGCACGUAGGCUGUAGUGUAAGUCAGGGGUGAAAUCCCACGGCUCAACCGUGGAACUGCCUUUGAUACUGCACAACUUGAAUCCGGGAGAGGGUGGCGGAAUUCCAGGUGUAGGAGUGAAAUCCGUAGAUAUCUGGAGGAACAUCAGUGGCGAAGGCGGCCACCUGGACCGGUAUUGACGCUGAGAUGCGAAAGCGUGGGGAGCAAACAGGAUUAGAUACCCCUGUAGUCC
RNAcentral lists this ribosomal RNA (450 nucleotides) under uncultured bacterium. RNAcentral's name for it is "partial 16S ribosomal RNA". It matches the Rfam family "Bacterial small subunit ribosomal RNA", at positions 354 to 796 of the family's 1533-position model. The record is from RNAcentral.